This 398-nucleotide ribosomal RNA is filed under the name Agrobacterium sp. S717-61. Its description in RNAcentral is "bacterial SSU rRNA". It matches the Rfam family "Bacterial small subunit ribosomal RNA", at positions 29 to 456 of the family's 1533-position model. The record is from RNAcentral. Lineage: Bacteria; Pseudomonadati; Pseudomonadota; Alphaproteobacteria; Hyphomicrobiales; Rhizobiaceae.
AACGAACGCUGGCGGCAGGCUUAACACAUGCAAGUCGAACGCCCCGCAAGGGGAGUGGCAGACGGGUGAGUAACGCGUGGGAAUCUACCGUGCCCUGCGGAAUAGCUCCGGGAAACUGGAAUUAAUACCGCAUACGCCCUACGGGGGAAAGAUUUAUCGGGGUAUGAUGAGCCCGCGUUGGAUUAGCUAGUUGGUGGGGUAAAGGCCUACCAAGGCGACGAUCCAUAGCUGGUCUGAGAGGAUGAUCAGCCACAUUGGGACUGAGACACGGCCCAAACUCCUACGGGAGGCAGCAGUGGGGAAUAUUGGACAAUGGGCGCAAGCCUGAUCCAGCCAUGCCGCGUGAGUGAUGAAGGCCUUAGGGUUGUAAAGCUCUUUCACCGGAGAAGAUAAUGACG